This 270-nucleotide ribosomal RNA is filed under the name uncultured archaeon. RNAcentral's name for it is "partial 16S ribosomal RNA". It matches the Rfam family "Archaeal small subunit ribosomal RNA", at positions 477 to 747 of the family's 1478-position model. The record is from RNAcentral.
CUGCAGCCCGAGUGGUGAUCGAUUUUAUUGAGCCUAAAGCGUCCGUAGCCGGACUAGUAAACCCUUGGGUAAAUUGGGCAGCUUAACUGUCCAAAUUCCGAGGGGACUGCUAGUCUUGGGACCGGGAGAGGUCAGAGGUACUCCAGGGGUAGGGGCUAAAUCCUGUAAUCCUUGGGGGACCACCAGUGGCGAAGGCGUCUGACUAGAACGGAUCCGACGGUAAGGGACGAAACCCUGGGGCACAAACCGGAUUAGAUACCCGAGUAGUCC